GGAGAGGUACCGAAGUGGCCAUAACGGGCCCGACUCGAAAUCGGGUAGGGAGUUACACUCCCACGUGGGUUCGAAUCCCACCCUCUCCG
This 89-nucleotide transfer RNA is filed under the name Candidatus Kentrum sp. FW. RNAcentral's name for it is "Candidatus Kentron sp. FW tRNA_Ser_CGA". It matches the Rfam family "tRNA". Rfam says of the family: Transfer RNA (tRNA) molecules are approximately 80 nucleotides in length. Lineage: Bacteria; Pseudomonadati; Pseudomonadota; Gammaproteobacteria. The record is from RNAcentral.